UACGGAAGGGGCUAGCGUUGUUCGGAAUUACUGGGCGUAAAGAGAGCCUAGGCGGCUUACCAAGUUGGGGGUGAAAUCCCGGAGCUCAACUCCGGAACUGCCUUCAAAACUGGUAGGCUCGAGUCCGGAAGAGGGGCGUGGAAUUCCCAGUGUAGAGGUGAAAUUCGUAGAUAUUGGGAAGAACACCGGUGGCGCAGGCGGCGCCCUGGUCCGGUACUGACGCUGAGGCGCGAAAGCGUGGGGAGCAAACAGG
This 253-nucleotide ribosomal RNA is filed under the name uncultured bacterium. Its description in RNAcentral is "partial 16S ribosomal RNA". It matches the Rfam family "Bacterial small subunit ribosomal RNA", at positions 524 to 776 of the family's 1533-position model. The record is from RNAcentral.